Non-coding RNA from Brachypodium distachyon (stiff brome), 136 nucleotides. Lineage: Eukaryota; Viridiplantae; Streptophyta; Magnoliopsida; Poales; Poaceae. The record is from Rfam.
CAGCUACUCCUUCCGUCCAACAAAAAAUAUCUCAAGUUUCUCAAAAUUUCAAUGUAUCUAGACAUGACUCAGUGUAUAGAUGCAUUCAAAUUUAAUAAAAAUUGAGACAUUUUUUGUUGGACGGAGGAAGUACCAU